CGCCCGCUGAGUGUCCCAUCUCCGCCGCCCGCUGCCGCCCCUCCCCUCGACUUGCCUCCGCCGGUGAGGCCUAACCAAACCUCGGGGUUCUCCUCCGCUGUUGUCAUGAGUGGUCAAGGUCGACAAGGAGGUGAUGAAUCUGCACGCCGGCCUUCUUCCACUCCCAUCCCCAUCUUCCUCGGUACUCGAUUUGGAACGACACCUGUGGAGUCCGAACGUGGCGAAGGGGACCUAGCGAGGUGUGCGUGUAAGAAGACCUGGUGUCCCCGGCUUCCGAGGCGACGCAGUCCAUGAUAGGGCAAGACCUGGCGGUGGCCUUCUUCAGCGACUUCUUGGGCUCCGUUGGCCCUGACCCCCGCUUCGUCAUCGACGACAGGUAAAGCAGCUCUGCGGAAGCCGCCGGCCACCAGGAUCAGAUUCUGUAGUGCAGCCUCAUGUGUGAAGCAAGAAAAUUAUGAUCUGGUGACAGAAGUCCUUCGAACGUGGACAAAUCAGUACCAAAAUUGAUUUGGUUCUUCCAAUCUGUGUGUGCAAUGUUUUUUCUGAGGAGCAAGUAGGUGGAGCACAUGAGUGACGAUGAUACCCCAAACUCUCACUAACUCUUAGCAUCUCAUAAUGUGAUGUCUAUAGGAGAUGGAGCAGCGCCUUGUUGAUGCAUGAGCCGAUGCGGUCUGAAUCAAGCCUGUGCGCAUCUUGGUGAGAAUCAUUGGUCUGGUUUGACCAUAUUUUUUGGACUGCAUUUUGUGGUUGUGUGUGAAAUUGUGUGCGGUGUAGGAUCUGCACUGUACGUGGAUUGCAAUUGUAGGACUGAUGGUAAGGCUUGAUCAAUGAACAUCGACAUAAUUUACAAUUUGAUCUUGAUUAAGCACGUGCGAUGGCGUAGUCUCUCUCUGUGUCGCUGAAAGGCACUUGGUGGCGAGGGCGCACGCGGAGAUGCGUUUAGUAGGGGCCCGACGAGUGGGUAAGGGCGGGCGUGGAGAUCACUAUUCCUGUGUCAGCGAACAUAAUACAAGCAUGUGUGACGAGGACGAACUUGGCACAUGCAAUGGUGGGGAGUGGCGACGAUGGUCAGGUGGAGGAGAACACGAGAAACGAAGCCAUGCGGCUGCAUCAGGCAUGUAUAGCUGAUCAAUGACUAUACAUAUUUUUGCCCGAAUGGUUUAGAUGGUCUUAACUGGAGGCUGCAUGGUGUAUCAGAUUUGGGUCGGAUCAGAGGAAAUCUACGGGAGAUUUGCAUGAGAUAGCAAUAGUGUGGCCCAUGAAACAGCAAAAAAUCAUCAACGUGGUGUAUCAGAUGUACAUUGACUUUCAGAGCACCAUCAACUAGCUUGAUCUGGUGUCCACUCGAAUAGAAAAGAAGAUGAAGUGCGUGACCAUUGUAGCUACUGUUUAAUUCAGAAGGACUGAGGGUGAGAAGAACAGUUUGUGUGGCUUGGAGUGGGUGAGAAUUUUCUAGCCGGUAAUUAGGGAUUUCCAGCAAACGCCGCAGAGCAAAAUCCAUGUGAUCAAGAAAGAUUCAAGACGGAUGGGUCGGCUCUGUAUCAAUAGUGUGUGCACGUUUACACCAAGUGUGGCAUUAUGAUUUUCUUAGUGGACCAACUGCGGCAAGAUCGAUCUGCCCAACAAGUCUGUUGAUCUUUCCACGUUUCGAACGUGUGCCGGAGUCAAUAGGUUUAAUAUUACGAUGGUAAUUCUCCUCGUCAUGUGUUUUUUUAUUUCAUGGAGUGAUGAUAAAGGAGUUUCUUUUGUCUACGGCUUGUUUCCAGUAUAUAAAAUGUGUACCCCAACAAUAUGUGGUAACAUAUGCGCCAUAGAUUUGAUGUGGGAACUGUCUUUGCGCAAUAUAACAUCUUUCUUAACACCACGGACUUUUGGAUAAAUAAUCCAUAUAUAUUUAUGGUCACAAGCUUGUGAGCAUAGCUAGCUGUUUAUUGUAGUAUUUGGUUCUGUGUAUAUGUUUCGUUUGCCAUACAAAUAAAUGAACGUUAGUUUUAAUUAAGAUAACAUCUCAAUUUGGUUUGUACAUCGCGAAGCAAGUCGGAAAAUAUCUACUAGGGGGAAUGUUUUUGGGGAGGAUUCUUGUGGUUUCGAAUGAGGAGGUAGCACCCUGUUUUGUAAUGCUCAAAUAUAUUCUACUUAACCACCUAGAUUCCCAUUUGUAGAAAUUUUACUUCCAUGUGUACAAGGUUACUUUGGUUGUUGUUCAGGUCCAGGCUGUUUAUCAUGCCAUAAGAAGAGAUGUGAGGAUGAAAUAGAUCUUAUGAAUUACGAUUACUUAUUCCUAUAUAGUUCCUUCCAUUUUGUAGCACCGACUUCCUAUUGUACAUCACAUUGAUAUGCUUACAAUUUGCUAAAAUUGUAUGCUUUAAAUGAACAUUAUUGCUUUACAUCAUUGC
Molecule: long non-coding RNA, 2396 nt
Organism: Triticum aestivum (bread wheat)
Lineage: Eukaryota; Viridiplantae; Streptophyta; Magnoliopsida; Poales; Poaceae
Exons: 8
Source: RefSeq, a predicted model, not a curated record